Molecule: ribosomal RNA, 242 nt
Filed under: uncultured bacterium
Lineage: Bacteria
Description: partial 16S ribosomal RNA
Rfam family: Bacterial small subunit ribosomal RNA
Source: RNAcentral
GAUCCUGGCUCAGAUUGAACGCUGGCGGCAGGCCUAACACAUGCAAGUCGAACGGUAACAGGAAACAGCUUUGCUGUUUCGCUGACGAGUGGCGGACGGGUGAGUAAUGUCUGGGAAACUGCCUGAUGGAGGGGGAUAACUACUGGAAACGGUAGCUAAUACCGCAUAAUGUCGCAAGACCAAAGAGGGGGACCUUCGGGCCUCUUGCCAUUCGGAUGUGCCAGAUGGGAUUAGCUAGUAGG